GGAGCGUGCAGGAUGGCUGUUGAAGUGGGACGCCGCUGGGCCACCGAAGGCACCCGGUGCGGACUUUUCCAGCCUUCGGUCUCCUGACCU
Non-coding RNA from Loxodonta africana (African savanna elephant), 90 nucleotides. Lineage: Eukaryota; Metazoa; Chordata; Mammalia; Proboscidea; Elephantidae. The record is from Rfam.